Non-coding RNA from Podarcis lilfordi (Lilford's wall lizard), 4259 nucleotides. The record is from the annotation of a GenBank genome assembly. NCBI's taxonomy places the organism in Eukaryota, Metazoa, Chordata, Lepidosauria, Squamata, Lacertidae.
UUAUUAAUGGAGUAGCAAAUGAGAAAAUCCUCUUUCUCUCCCCUUCUUAGUUCUCUCUAGAGUUCAUUCUGCUACUUUGGGACAAUUUUGCGAAAGAAGGAGGCAGUCUCAUCAGUUCAUGUGGCCUUAUGCCUGGUAAGGAGAACAACAACAAAAUCGCUGCCUCACAGAGGCCAUUGUGGCCUUCACCUGAUCUUCUCCUACAAGGAGGUGAUAACUUUGCUAAAGAUGAUCAGUGAUGAUGUAACUGCAAAUUAAGUCUCUGCCCUUCAAGCCUUGGUUCAUUAACUUCAGCAGUGAAUGGACUCCUUAAGAGUCCCCUAUUUCAGGAUUGAGAUGAAGAGACCGCAUCCCUCCUCAAGUCCCUGCAAGCUGAGAAUGCUUCUCUGUAAGACAAGCUGUGGGAUCAAGAAAGGAGAUACUGUGGAAACAACCUGGACGUUGUUGAGGUUUAUGAUAGGGCCAAACGAGGGAGUUGCUGUUUGUGGCAACUCUAUUAUGAUAAUCGCUCUCCCUUCCAGAGGACUGCUCUGGACACUGAAUGUGCUCACUAGAGCCCACUUCCCAUGAUGAGAAGUGAUGGCCCUAAUCCGUAAGCAGCCCGUCUACCUAUAAUUUAUUGACGCCCACAGAAGAAGAUACAACCACUAAAAAUUUCUGCAGGAAUACAAUGGUGCAUCUUUGGGGAGAUUCCAAAUCUGCAAUACUUACCGGGAGGAAACGUGGCAUGCUCCCUCAAAGCUCCCUAUACCCCUUUUUGCCAAUUUCCCUCGCUUUUCCGGAACAGAGGCACUGGCCUUAGAAAGGAUGAGGCGCGGUAUUUAGAAUGAUUUGGCCCAGACCCAGAAAGGAGGAAGUGAGUGAGAAGCAAGAGAAAGUUGCAUGGAAGCAGCUUUUUAUGUUGGAAGGCGUUAGUGAUUGUGGGUCUUGCUGUUGGUGGAUGCGUGUACGCUUUUUGGGGGACCCCACAGCGGCGUAGCUAGCCCCAUGUUAAGUGCUCCACCCUUGGUGUGGCACCCCACGACACCUCUGGGACCCCAGGCCUAGGUCAGAAACUAUGGAGUGUCAAAGGUGUCAACAGAUUAUCACAGAACACCUUUCCACAAAGAAGCAGGAAUCAGUUGUAGGUCCUGUCAUGCUCCUUUUCAGCUGCCUGUUAUAAAACAAAACCCCGGUGGAAGUGCUGACAGUAAAAAAGUUGAAUAUGGAGGGGAGGAGGGCAACCUAUGAAGAAAUCUUAAUGAGAACAGAGGAAGGAUGGAAACUGAAACCCUAUAAUUGUAUAGAGAAUGCAUUUACGGGAUGGUUACAAUAUCAAGUGAAUGAUAAAGGGGGUAAUAAAGUGGGAUUCAGUGAAAAGAAGUCAAGAUAUCAAAUCAAAAUAGUAGAGGGCAGGUCAAAACUUAUCGAAAAUGUAUGUUUUUUUUAUUGGAAUGGAACACAAAAGAUGAAUUGACAAAAGAGGUAAUGAUAAAAUGGGCAAUUGAUUUUGGGUAUAAUAUUGAAUAUGACACUUGGGCAAAACUGUGGAACGAGGGCUUGAAAUUCACGGCGUGUACUACCCUAAAAGAAAACAUAAUGCAAAGGCUGUACCGCUGGUAUAUUAUAUCUGUCAAGCUAGCAAAAAUGUACAGAGUGAGCACUAAAGCAUGCUGAAAAUGUAAAAUGAAAGCUGGAGAGUUUUUUCACAUGUGGUGGACAUGUGAAAAAAUGAAAAAAAAAAUAGAUAUGAUUUAUAACGAAUUGAAAAAAAUAUUUAAAUAUACCUUCCCCAAAAAACCAGAAGCUUUUUUGCUGGGGUUGAUAGGCGGUGAAUUAAGAAAAGCAGACCACAGACUAUUUAUGUACUCUACAAUUGCUGCCAGAAUCUUAGUAGCCCCAAAAUGAAAAACUCAGGAAAUACCAACACUAAUGGAGUGGCAGACCAAAAUGGUUGAAUAUAUAGAAUUAGCAAAACUGACCCACAGGAUCCGUAACCAAGAGGAAACAAAGUUCAAAAAGGAAUGGAGUAUAUUUGUAAAAUAUAUAGGUAAUAACUGUAGAAGUUUAAAGACCGUAGCAGGAUUAAAAUAAAUCUUGUGAUGUGGAUAGAAUGCAACUAAGAACCUGUGAAAGAGAAAAUUUAAUAUAAAAGCCUGUUGAAGGGAAGGAGAGAAGUCUGCGCGCGAUAGAGUGUGUAGAAAAUAAGUAGACACAUGAUUGUUGAACUUUAGAGUAUUUAUUUUGUUUGUAUAUGUUAUAGAAAACUCAAUAAAAAGUAUUUGAUAAAUAAAUAAAACCCAUUUCUCAUGGAAAGGGUCUUUUUUGUUGGGCUCUGUGGCGUUUGUACGGAGCCCCCAGUCGUCUCACGGACUAUUCACCUGUACACCACUAAUCCACUGCCACCAACCUGGUCCUCCCUGGUAAAUCACUUGGUCUCAGUCAGGUUCUUAAGUUCAUAAUGAAGAUUGUGGUUUAUUGCAAACACAAAUAAACUUUAAAUACAUUUGAAACGCUGUUACCCUUUUCCCUCUUAGUCUUAUUUUAUUCUGUCUCUAACUCUUCUACCUCCCCUCACACAAGAACCAACUCCACUAACUGUCUAUUUCCAUCUAUCUGCCAACUGCUUUCCCAACUGCCUUUUCCCAACCAACCAACCGACCAGCUAUUAACUCUUUCUCUCCCCCUGUACAGACAUUUUCAAAAGAAUGGGCAAGCAUCCCUCCCCCCUUAAAGAAGUUUGAUCAGGAGGGAUAACUGAACAGAGUUACACUCCUGAUCAAACUGCAUUAGACAAUUAAAGCAAAUAAACAUAUUUAUACUUAGGUUAUACAUUUAACUUCCUAUAUUCUCUAGUACAACAAUUGCCUAUUGGUAAAACAUGUGGGAAUGUUUAGGGAUGCGGGGGAGGAUAUAUUGUCUAAGAUGUCCUAUCCCAACUUGUCUUUACAAGUUCAACAAAAUCAGCAGAGUUAACAUUCUCCUUUUCUUAAACACACGAACAGCAGAUAGCUUUCUCAGACUCAUUAGAGUCUCUGUAAAUAUUUCCUGGUAUUUCCCCCAUUUAAUCCCUCCUAAAAUAAGAUGCUACACAGUCUUCUGUAAAGUAUAAAACAUUUACUCACAAGUAAUCAUCUGUUCACACAAAGGUACCCAGAAGGGAGACUUAAAAGGUUAGAACGUAGUUUAAAUGUGGUGACUAUCUCCUUAUGGGAGAAAGCCCCCCUUUUCUUCUCUUGGCCUGGAGCCAAGGGUGCAUCUUAGUAGUGCUGUUGUUAAGAUGGCAUCAAGAGGGGCAAGAUGGUCGCCAGUCUGUGAUUCUGGUUCUUUCUACUUCAAGAGAGACCACGCCCAUCUCAAGUUACACAUAGAAAGUUUCUUCUUAGUCCUGGAAAGCAGGAAGUUCCAGCUGGAGGACCGAGACAACUUUCAUUUCUACUCUAGCAAUGUUGUGUUUGGCUGCACCUGAUUCUAACAUCCCACAAAACAUUCAAUUAUACAGAGGUUUUGGUACAUUCUAGGCAACUCGGUUAUCUACAGGGAAAAAUAUUAACCGUCUAUGGUUAACCUUCAUUAUUGGAUCUUCUUGAUAAAGCAUCGGCCACAAUGUUCAGGGACCCUUUCACAUUUCUUAUGGUGAAAUUGAAGUUCAGCAGCAACAGGGCCCACCUCAUCAGUUUGCUAUUAGUGCUCAUCGUCCUUAACCAAAGCAAGGGUGAAUGAUCGGUGCACAGUAUAAAUUUCUGGCCCCAGAUGUAUGGCUUCAACUUCUGUAGGGACCAGACGAUAGCAAAACAUUCCUUUUCUAUCGUGGAAAGUUGUUUCUCUCUGGGUAGCAAUUUCUUGCUGACAUAUUUGUUGAAUUAAUUGGAGGAUCUCACUGUCAGGGGGGAGGGUAGAACAGAUUCUUGGUUUGGCAAGUACAGAUUUGGAAGGUUUGCGUUGAACAACCUGAUUAGAUUGCCCCCUCCAUCCUUUCUUCUGGAAGUCACUUACUAGAUCGGAUUCCAGAAGCAGAGCUAUCCCUCACAGGCUGAGCUGUUGAUGCAAUCCAGGCAAAAAUACCAGGCAAAAACGCAUAUAACUGGAGGCAAGACACUAAGCACAGCCAUCUGACCACCUGAGAUCCUUGUCUAUCCUGCAGUGGGGUUUGGAUAGGAGACGCCCCGGGUAGACCCUAAUGACGGCGACACUUUGGCAUUGGAUUUGUCUUGCUGUGAAUGUUGACUCCAUCUAAUAAAGUUAUUUCUGAAAAAUAAAGAAAUGAAAUUGGUGAAAUG